RNAcentral lists this ribosomal RNA (292 nucleotides) under uncultured bacterium. Its description in RNAcentral is "partial 16S ribosomal RNA". It matches the Rfam family "Bacterial small subunit ribosomal RNA", at positions 505 to 796 of the family's 1533-position model. The record is from RNAcentral.
GUGUCAGCAGCCGCGGUAAGACAGAGGGUGCAAACGUUGCUCGGAAUCACUGGGCGUAAAGGGCGUGUAGGCGGGAAGAUAAGUCGGGCGUGAAAUCCCUGGGCUCAACCCAGGAACUGCACUCGAAACUGUUUUUCUUGAGUAUCGGAGAGGAAAGCGGAAUUCCUGGUGUAGAGGUGAAAUUCGUAGAUAUCAGGAGGAACACCAGCGGCGAAGGCGGCUUUCUGGACGAUAACUGACGCUGAGACGCGAAAGCGUGGGGAGCAAACAGGAUUAGAAACCCCGGUAGUCC